Molecule: ribosomal RNA, 253 nt
Filed under: uncultured bacterium
Lineage: Bacteria
Description: partial 16S ribosomal RNA
Rfam family: Bacterial small subunit ribosomal RNA
Source: RNAcentral
UACGGAGGGAGCUAGCGUUGUUCGGAAUUACUGGGCGUAAAGCGCGCGUAGGCGGCUUUGUAAGUUAGAGGUGAAAGCCCGGAGCUCAACUCCGGAACUGCCUUUAAGACUGCAUCGCUUGAAUCGUGGAGAGGUUAGUGGAAUUCCGAGUGUAGAGGUGAAAUUCGUAGAUAUUCGGAAGAACACCAGUGGCGAAGGCGGCUCACUGGACCGGCAUUGACGCUGAGGUGCGAAAGCGUGGGGAGCAAACAGG